Molecule: ribosomal RNA, 492 nt
Filed under: uncultured bacterium
Lineage: Bacteria
Description: partial 16S ribosomal RNA
Rfam family: Bacterial small subunit ribosomal RNA
Source: RNAcentral
AGUGGACGCUGGCGGUAGGCCUAACACAUGCAAGUCGAACGGCAGCACAGUAAGAGCUUGCUCUUACGGGUGGCGAGUGGCGGACGGGUGAGGAAUACAUCGGAAUCUACUUUUUCGUGGGGGAUAACGUAGGGAAACUUACGCUAAUACCGCAUACGACCUACGGGUGAAAGCAGGGGAUCUUCGGACCUUGCGCGAUUGAAUGAGCCAAUGUCGGAUUAGCUAGUUGGCGGGGUAAAGGCCCACCAAGGCGACGAUCCGUAGCUGGUCUGAGAGGAUGAUCAGCCACACUGGAACUGAGACACGGUCCAGACUCCUACGGGAGGCAGCAGUGGGGAAUAUUGGACAAUGGGCGCAAGCCUGAUCCAGCCAUACCGCGUGGGUGAAGAAGGCCUUCGGGUUGUAAAGCCCUUUUGUUGGGAAAGAAAAGCAGCAGGUUAAUACCCCGCUGUUCUGACGGUACCCAAAGAAUAAGCACCGGCUAACUUCGUG